RNAcentral lists this long non-coding RNA (210 nucleotides) under Anser cygnoides (Swan goose). RNAcentral describes it as "lncRNA (ENSACDG00005008977.1)". Lineage: Eukaryota; Metazoa; Chordata; Aves; Anseriformes; Anatidae. The record is from RNAcentral.
AUGGCGUUGGGUAACUACCUGCACCCUGGUCUGGUUCUUCCUCAUUUGAAGGGAGGAAGGUCCAUAGUCCACAUCCAGCUCCUCCAAAAGUUGUCUCCUUCUCUCAGGAGCAUCCUGCCUGUUUGCAGGCACGUUCGUUGUUUGGAAGAACAUGGCUGUCAUGGAAGGUCGUGGUCAGAGAAGGGGAAGGAGGUCUCACAGGAUAUAUAA